CAGUAGCCGCGGUAAUACGAAGGGUGCAAGCGUUAAUCGGAAUUACUGGGCGUAAAGCGUGCGUAGGGGGUUUGUUAAGUCUGCUGUGAAAUCCCCGGGCUCAACCUGGGAAUGGCAGUGGAUACUGGCAAGCUAGAGUGUGUCAGAGGAUGGUGGAAUUCCCGGUGUAGCGGUGAAAUGCGUAGAGAUCGGGAGGAACAUCAGUGGCGAAGGCGGCCAUCUGGGACAACACUGACGCUGAGGCACGAAAGCGUGGGGAGCAAACAGGAUUAGAUACCCGCGUAGUCCCUGUCUCUUAUAC
RNAcentral lists this ribosomal RNA (301 nucleotides) under uncultured bacterium. RNAcentral describes it as "partial 16S ribosomal RNA". It matches the Rfam family "Bacterial small subunit ribosomal RNA", at positions 509 to 807 of the family's 1533-position model. The record is from RNAcentral.